UCAGACUGCACGAGAUAAGUUGGGCAGUCAAAAGGGAAAGAGCCCAGACCACCGGCUAAGGUCCCAAAGUGCGUGUUAAGUGGAAAAGGAUGUGGGAAUUCGAAGACAACUAGGAUGUUGGCUCAGAAGCAGCCAUACAUUCAAAGAGUGCGUAACAGCUCACUAGUCGAGAGUUCCUGCGCCGAAAAUGUCCGGGGCUGAAACACGACACCGAAGCCGUGGACUCGCAAUGCGAGUGGUAGAGGAGCAUUCUUAAGACCGACGAAGCUGUACCGGAAGGAGCAGUGGAGGGAUAAGAAGAGAGAAUGCCGGAAUGAGUAGCGAGAGAAAGGUGGGAAUCCUUUCGGCCGAAUAUCUAAGGUUUCCAGAGUAAAGCUGAUCUGCUCUGGGUAAGUCGGGGCCUAAGCACAGGUCGCAAGACGUAAGCGAUGGAUAACAGGUUUAGAUUCCUGUACCACGCAUUAUCAGAACUGUAGGGACGCAUGUGGAAAGCACGAGCCGGGAAUGGAAAGACCGGUACAAGCGGGGUAGGAGUACAAUAGGCAAAUCCGUUGUAUGAUCCGAAGACGUGAUGUGGAGCGAAAUAAAGUAGUGAAGCGUGUGAGCCAUGUGCCGAGAAAAGCUGCUAUUGUGUAAUGCGUGCCCGUACCGUAAACCGACACAGGUGGAUGAGGAGAGAAUCCUAAGGCCGACGGAAGAAGCAUUGUUAAGGAAUUCGGCAAAAUGACCCCGUAACUUCGGGAGAAGGGGUGCCUGCGAGAGCAGGCCGCAGAGAAUAGGCUCAAGCAACUGUUUAGCAAAAACACAGGUCUAUGCGAAACCGAAAGGUGAAGUAUAUGGGCUGACGCCUGCCCGGUGCUGGAAGGUUAAGAGGAGAGGUUAGCGAAAGCGAAGCUUUGAAUUUAAGCCCCAGUAAACGGCGGCCGUAACUAUAACGGUCCUAAGGUAGCGAAAUUCCUUGUCGGGUAAGUUCCGACCCGCACGAAAGGCGUAAUGAUUUGAGCACUGUCUCGACAAUGCAUCCGGUGAAAUUGAAGUACCAGUGAAGAUGCUGGUUACCCGCGCCAGGACGGAAAGACCCCAUGGAGCUUUACUCCAGUUUGAUACUGGGAUUCGGUACUGCAUGUACAGGAUAGGUGGGAGACGAAGAAGGAUGGACGCCAGUCUGUCCGGAGUCGCUGUUGGGAUACCACCCCUGUAGUACUGGGUUUCUAACCAGUUGCCAUGAACUGGCAAUGGGACAAUGUCAGGCGGGGAGUUUGACUGGGGCGGUCGCCUCCGAAAGGGUAUCGGAGGCGCUCAAAGGUUCCCUCAGAAUGGUUGGAAACCAUUUGAAGAGUGCAAAGGCAGAAGGGAGCUUGACUGCGACACCGACGGGUGGAGCAGGUACGAAAGUAGGACUUAGUGAUCCGGUGGUAUAAAGUGGGAUUGCCAUCGCUCAACGGAUAAAAGCUACCCUGGGGAUAACAGGCUUAUCACUCCCAAGAGUUCACAUCGACGGAGUGGUUUGGCACCUCGAUGUCGGCUCAUCGCAUCCUGGGGCUGUAGCAGGUCCCAAGGGUUGGGCUGUUCGCCCAUUAAAGCGGUACGCGAGCUGGGUUCAGAACGUCGUGAGACAGUUCGGUCCCUAUCCGGCGCGGGCGGAGGAUAUUUGAGAGGAGCUGUCCUUAGUACGAGAGGACCGGGAUGGACGGACCACUGGUGUAUCUGUUGUCGACCAACGGCAUGGCAGAGUAGCCAAGUCUGGAAGGGAUAAACGCUGAAGGCAUCUAAGCGUGAAGCCCCCCUCAAGAUGAGAUAUCCCUCCUUCGGGAGUAAGACCCCUUGAAGACUACAAGGUAGAUAGGGCAGAGGUGGAAGCAUGGCAACAUGUGGAGCUGACUGUUACUAAUAGGUCGAGGGCUUAAUCU
Molecule: ribosomal RNA, 1910 nt
Filed under: human gut metagenome
Description: bacterial LSU rRNA
Rfam family: Bacterial large subunit ribosomal RNA
Source: RNAcentral